AGUACAAUACAAGACUGAAAUAGAAAAAUGCAGGUACAAAAAUAAAUGUUCAAGAAGACAGUACCAGCACAAAAGGGUAAUAUAGUCGUUUAUGUAACUAAUAUAAGCUUCUCCACAUUAUAGAAGCAUCAUAUAAGUAUCAUCCCACAAAAGUGAAACAAACAGAAGCAUUCUGGCUUGGUUGAUAGAAGUUCUGUCAAUCGGAAAGUUGCAUGGUCAAUUCCCUAUCUGUCGAAGUGUCCUUGAACAAGACACUGAACCCCAAACUGGAUGGACUGAGCGCCUUGCAUGGCAGCUG
Salarias fasciatus (jewelled blenny) is the source of this 298-nucleotide long non-coding RNA. RefSeq lists it as uncharacterized. The transcript is spliced from 3 exons. The record is from RefSeq and is a predicted model, not a curated record. Lineage: Eukaryota; Metazoa; Chordata; Actinopteri; Blenniiformes; Blenniidae.